AACGAACGCUGGCGGCAUGCCUAACACAUGCAAGUCGAACGAGACCUUCGGGUCUAGUGGCGCACGGGUGCGUAACGCGUGGGAACCUGCCCUUAGGUUCGGAAUAACUCCCCGAAAGGGGUGCUAAUACCAGAUAAUGUCUUCGGACCAAAGAUUUAUCGCCUUUGGAUGGGCCCGCGUUGGAUUAGCUAGUUGGUAGGGUAAAAGCCUACCAAGGCGACGAUCCAUAGCUGGUCUGAGAGGAUGAUCAGCCACACUGGGACUGAGACACGGCCCAGACUCCUACGGGAGGCAGCAGUGGGGGAUAUUGGACAAUGGGCGAAAGCCUGAUCCAGCAAUGCCGCGUGAGUGAUGAAGGCCUUAGGGUUGUAAAGCUCUUUUACCCGGGAUGAUAAUGACAGUACCGGGAGAAUAAGCUCCGGCUAACUCCGUG
RNAcentral lists this ribosomal RNA (433 nucleotides) under uncultured bacterium. RNAcentral's name for it is "partial 16S ribosomal RNA". It matches the Rfam family "Bacterial small subunit ribosomal RNA", at positions 29 to 507 of the family's 1533-position model. The record is from RNAcentral.